This 460-nucleotide ribosomal RNA is filed under the name uncultured bacterium. RNAcentral's name for it is "partial 16S ribosomal RNA". It matches the Rfam family "Bacterial small subunit ribosomal RNA", at positions 338 to 795 of the family's 1533-position model. The record is from RNAcentral.
CCUACGGGUGGCAGCAGUGAGGAAUAUUGGUCAAUGGACGAGAGUCUGAACCAGCCAAGUAGCGUGAAGGAUGACUGCCCUAUGGGUUGUAAACUUCUUUUAUAAAGGAAUAAAACGAGGCACGUGUGCCUUUUUGCAUGUACUUUAUGAAUAAGGAUCGGCUAACUCCGUGCCAGCAGCCGCGGUAAUACGGAGGAUCCGAGCGUUAUCCGGAUUUAUUGGGUUUAAAGGGAGCGUAGAUGGGUUGUUAAGUCAGUUGUGAAAGUUUGCGGCUCAACCGUAAAAUUGCAAUUGAUACUGGCAGUCUAGAGUACAGUUGAGGUAGGCGGAAUUCGUGGUGUAGCGGUGAAAUGCUUAGAUAUCACGAAGAACCCCGAGUGCGAAGGCAGCUUACUAAACUGUGACUGACAUUGAUGCUCGAAAGUGUGGGUAUCAAACAGGAUUAGAUACCCGGGUAGUC